This 84-nucleotide transfer RNA is filed under the name bacterium. RNAcentral's name for it is "tRNA-Leu". It matches the Rfam family "tRNA". From Rfam's summary of the family: Transfer RNA (tRNA) molecules are approximately 80 nucleotides in length. Their secondary structure includes four short double-helical elements and three loops (D, anti-codon, and T loops). The record is from RNAcentral.
GCCGCCGUGGCGGAACGGUUUACGCGUACGACUUAAAAUCGUAUGGGGCAACCCAUGUGGGUUCGAAUCCCACCGGCGGCACCA